RNAcentral lists this transfer RNA (72 nucleotides) under Anisakis simplex (herring worm). It matches the Rfam family "tRNA". From Rfam's summary of the family: Transfer RNA (tRNA) molecules are approximately 80 nucleotides in length. Their secondary structure includes four short double-helical elements and three loops (D, anti-codon, and T loops). Lineage: Eukaryota; Metazoa; Nematoda; Chromadorea; Rhabditida; Anisakidae. The record is from Rfam by way of RNAcentral.
GUCUCAUUGGCUUAGAGGUAGAACGUCUGUCUUGUAAGCAGGAGGUCGCUGGUUCGAUUCCAGCAUGAGGCA